AAAUUGAAGAGUUUGAUCAUGGCUCAGAUUGAACGCUGGCGGCAGGCCUAACACAUGCAAGUCGAGCGGAAACGAGUUAUCUGAACCUUUGGGGAACGAUACGGCGUCGAGCGGCGGACGGGUGAGUAAUGCCUAGGAAAUUGCCUUGAUGUGGGGGAUAACCAUUGGAAACGAUGGCUAAUACCGCAUAAUGCCUACGGGCCAAAGAGGGG
RNAcentral lists this ribosomal RNA (212 nucleotides) under Vibrio sp. 10N.261.51.A7. RNAcentral's name for it is "partial 16S ribosomal RNA". It matches the Rfam family "Bacterial small subunit ribosomal RNA", at positions 1 to 211 of the family's 1533-position model. Lineage: Bacteria; Pseudomonadati; Pseudomonadota; Gammaproteobacteria; Vibrionales; Vibrionaceae. The record is from RNAcentral.